Molecule: ribosomal RNA, 322 nt
Filed under: uncultured eukaryote
Lineage: Eukaryota
Description: partial 18S ribosomal RNA
Rfam family: Eukaryotic small subunit ribosomal RNA
Source: RNAcentral
CCCUUAGAUGUUCUGGGCCGCACGCGCGCUACACUGAUGCGUUCAACAAGUUUCCUUGGCCGAGAGGCCUGGGCAAUCUUCUUAAUAUGUAUCGUGAUAGGGAUAGAUUAUUGCAAUUAUUAAUCCUGAACGAGGAAUUCCUAGUAAACGCAGAUCAUCAAUCUGCAUUGAUUACGUCCCUGCCCUUUGUACACACCGCCCGUCGCACCUACCGAUUGGAUGUUCCGGUGAAGCCUCGGGAUGAGGACUGGUGCCUUUAUUGGCAUGAGUUGUUCAGAACUUGUCUAAACCUUAUCAUCUAGAGGAAGGUGAAGUCGAAACA